Molecule: ribosomal RNA, 424 nt
Filed under: Fusobacteriota bacterium
Lineage: Bacteria; Fusobacteriati; Fusobacteriota
Description: Fusobacteria bacterium partial 16S ribosomal RNA
Rfam family: Bacterial small subunit ribosomal RNA
Source: RNAcentral
UGAGGAAUAUUGGUCAAUGGGCGAGAGCCUGAACCAGCCAAGUAGCGUGCAGGAUGACGGCCCUAUGGGUUGUAAACUGCUUUUAUGUGGGGAUAAAGUGCGUGACGUGUCAUGCAUUGCAGGUACCACAUGAAUAAGGACCGGCUAAUUCCGUGCCAGCAGCCGCGGUAAUACGGAAGGUCCGGGCGUUAUCCGGAGUUAUUGGGUUUAAAGGGAGCGUAGGCUGUCUAUUAAGCGUGUUGUGAAAUUUACCGGCUCAACCGGUGGCUUGCAGCGCGAACUGGUCGACUUGAGUAUGCAGGAAGUAGGCGGAAUUCAUGGUGUAGCGGUGAAAUGCUUAGAUAUCAUGACGAACUCCGAUUGCGCAGGCAGCUUACUGUAGCAUAACUGACGCUGAUGCUCGAAAGGGCGGGUAUCAAACAGG